This 409-nucleotide long non-coding RNA is filed under the name Homo sapiens (human). RNAcentral describes it as "non-protein coding lnc-PLD5-2:1". Lineage: Eukaryota; Metazoa; Chordata; Mammalia; Primates; Hominidae. The record is from RNAcentral.
UGGCCACCAGCUCCCAUCACGACGCUACCUAGGGGCCCCAGCUAUAGUCGACUCAUUAGCAUGUGGAAGAUACUCAUCACUCCGGAAGGGUUUUAGGAGCUCUAUGUCAGGAACCAGGAACAAAGACCAAAUAUUUGUUUUUUAUUACAUCACAAUGCCACAUCCACAGAUCUUCUUUCCCUGACACAGAGAUUUGCUGGCUAAGCUAUUCAAUUUCAUCUAUUCUUGCAGACUUCGUUGUCUCAUUGUUAUGACAAACUGGAGCCAAAUUUAAAAAAUGUUUAAACCACAUUUAGAAGGUAGGAAGCUGGACUCCAUGGUGAACAGCAUUAACAAGUACCACAAGUUUCGAGUGACAGAAGCAUAUCAGCUAUGGAAGCAGAUGGAACAAAAUAAUGUUAAAGGGCCU